GGGUUAGUGGUCUAGUGGUAUGAUUCUCGCUUUGGGUGCGAGAGGUCCGGGGUUCGAUUCCCUGCUAACCCC
Molecule: non-coding RNA, 72 nt
Organism: Trichuris suis (pig whipworm)
Lineage: Eukaryota; Metazoa; Nematoda; Enoplea; Trichinellida; Trichuridae
Source: Rfam